AUGGAGGGCCGGGCGCGGUAAGAGCGUCUAGGGGGAGUAGGGCAAGGCGGCGGGGCCCAUCCCAUUCCGCCUUUUCUUCAGCGUCCUGCCCGCGGCACUGGCUGCGGGCGCCGGGCCACCUGCGAGUGUGCGCAGGGACUCCGGACACCCGCGGCGGCGAGCUGAGGGAGCAGUCUUCACGAGGACCGAGGCGGACCCUCGGGCGCCAUGCGCGCCCUCCCCGGCCUGCUGGGGACUAGGGCGCGUACGCCCCGGCUGCUCCUCCUCUUCCAGUGCCUUCUCGCCGCCGCGCGCCCAAGCUCGGCGGACGGCAGUGCCCCAGAUUCGCCUUUUACAAGUCCACCUCUCAGAGAAGAAAUGAUGGCAAAUAACUUUUCCUUGGAGAGUCAUAACAUAUCACUGACUGAACAUUUUAGUAUGCCAGUAGAAAAAAAUAUCACUUUAGAAAAGCCUUCUAAUGUAAAUCUCACAUGCCAUUUCACAACAUCUGGGGAUUUGAAUGCAGUAAAUGUGACUUGGAAAAAAGAUGGUGAACAACUUGAGAAUAAUUAUCUUGUCAGUGCAACAGGAAGCACCUUGUAUACCCAAUACAGGUUCACCAUCAUUAAUAGCAAACAAAUGGGAAGUUAUUCUUGUUUCUUUCGAGAGGAAAAGGAACAAAGGGGAACAUUUAAUUUCAAAGUCCCUGAACUUCAUAGGAAAAACAAGCCAUUGAUCUCUUACGUAGGGGAUUCUACUGUCUUGACAUGUAAAUGUCAAAAUUGUUUUCCUUUAAAUUGGACCUGGUACAGUAGUAAUGGGAGUGUAAAGGUUCCUGUUGGUGUUCAAAUGAAUAAAUAUGUGAUCAAUGGAACAUAUGCUAACGAAACAAAGCUGAAGAUACCACAACUUUUGGAGGAAGAUGGGGGAUCUUACUGGUGCCAUGCCCUAUUCCAAUUAGGCGAGAGUGAAGAACACAUUGAGCUUGUGGUGCUGAGCUAUUUGGUACCCCUCAAACCAUUUCUUGUAAUAGUGGCUGAGGUGAUUCUUUUAGUGGCCACCAUUCUGCUUUGUGAAAAGUACACACAAAAGAAAAAGAAGCACUCAGAUGAGGGGAAAGAAUUUGAGCAGAUUGAACAGCUGAAAUCAGAUGAUAGCAAUGGUAUAGAAAAUAAUGUCCCCAGGCAUAGAAAAAAUGAUUCUCUGGGCCAGUGAAUACAAAACAUCAUGUCGAGAAUCAUUGGAAGAUAUACAGAGUUCGUAUUUCAGCUUUGUUUAUCCUUCCUAUUAAGAGCUUCUGAGUUUUUAGUUCUAAAAGGAUGAAAAGCUUAUGCAACAUGCUCAGCAGGAGCUUCAUCAUUGAUAUAUGCUAUCUCAGAUCUAAAGUAUUGAGAAAAAGAAAAUGGAACUAUGGACCCUUCUUUCAUAUGAUACUUAGGAAUGUAUCUGCACUGUAUCCAGAAGGUCAGUUACAUGCCCUGUUUACCAAUUGAAUUCUGCUUCACUGAGGAUAAUAAUAACUGACAUUGAGUGCAUGGCAUAUGAUGGGCACUGUACAAAUUGCUGUGACAUGUUUUGUUCAUUUAAUUCACACAAUGGUCCUAUGCUAUAAAAACAGUUAAUAUCGACUUUUUUAUAGAUGAGGAAACUGCAGCUUAGAGAGAUUAGGUAAGCUGCCUAAAGUCACCCUGACUGUAAAUGUUUAGAGCUGAGAUUCACAUUCACGGAGUCCUCCUGAGGAACCUAGGAUUAACCACCACGUUGAACAGCUUUGGCCUGCAAAUUACAUGCUUCUUAGAAAAUGAGGCUAUUAUCUAUAAUUUGUAUUUUUUAAUAUCAAUUUUAUUCCUUUCAACUGGUCAGUUAUAUCAUAAAUUCCAUGGAAUUUUUAUGGAACCCAUUCUUUGCCACUCUUGUAUCCCUAUAGUGGUGCUGGGGAAUCAAGACACAUUUAUUUGCCUUAGCACUCUUUCUUUCUUUUUUUUUUUUUUGUAAUUUUACUUAUAAAUUGGGAGGGUGGCCAUAAAAUUUAUCAUCCAACCACUGAAAGUGAAAGAAGGUGCUAUUUAUGAUUUCCCCAGGACAACUGGCAGAAAAUACUCUCUGGUCGUACAUUUAGCCUGCAGAGAGAAUUUAAGUACAUUAUGGAUAGUCUGCCAUAGACACAGCAGUAGCAUCUGCAACAAGUAAAUGAUAAACGAAAAUCAACUUUCAAGGAAAUAGCCAUUUUUAGUAAACAUAGGGAAAUAGCCAUUUUAAGUAAGUGUCAGGUGAGUCUCACUAUAAACUGCCUAUAAUGAGACAGUUUAGUAAGCUUAAAGUUUUAUUAAUUUCCAAAAGCAUCUAAUAGGUUGAGAUUUAUUGGCAUUCAAAAGUGUGAUUCACAAAUUGUAAGAGAAGCUGGCAAAGAAAGUCAUGUUUUUGCUGGCCUAUGGAAUGCACUGGAUAAUUCUUUGGGCUUGCAUAUCUUCUGAUUCAUGUGUCAUCAUAAUAAUGUCUGAGUGAUUCUCAGUGAAUCAUGAAUGCGUGAUUGUGCUUUUACAAUAAAAUUUGCUUAUGAAGUCAGUGAAAAUAAUUCAUGAAUAACGUUGUCAAAAUUACUUUUAAUCACAAGAUUAACCUGCAACAACUAUGUAUAUUAUUUUUAUGUAUUGGCUUAUUAUAUUCAAAAACUUUGUUUAUAAAAACUGAUUUUGCUAUUUAAUUUUUAAUUUACUUUAGAAAAUAAUGUAGCACAAUGUUAGAUUUAUUACAUAUGUAACUUAAUAUUAUUUAAUGCUGCAAAAUCAUAGCACAUGUUUAUAACUAUAGCAUUUUAUUAACUGUCUUUGUACUUUUAAAGAAAGAAAUAUGAUCAUAAUCUUUAGUUUUAUUUAAAUCAAGGAUCAUGGAUUUAUUUUGACAUACUUUCUAAUAAUUACAAUGUUUUCCUUUGUAAACAUAUGUGCCUAAAUUCUCAUUGAGGGCUUUCUGUACUGUGUAAAUAGCACAGAAAAUGUCUAUAUAGGAAUGUUUAAAAAACAUUUUCUGUUGCGUGUAACUCAAAAGAUACAUCUAAUAUGCAAUUAAAUUGAAUAAAAUAGUACUUUGUGAAUUAAAAAUUUAAGUAUUGAAAAACAUUGUCAUGCUUUUUAUUUUUAAUAGUGGUUUAAAAGAGAAUAUAAAGGCACUAAACAGAAAACACUAGUUUUUUUUUCUUUGUGUAUACUCACAAGUAAUUUAAAUCAUGUUGAACAAUAUGUCCUUCUCAAGCCCAGUGAAA
Molecule: RNA transcript, 3241 nt
Organism: Pongo pygmaeus (Bornean orangutan)
Lineage: Eukaryota; Metazoa; Chordata; Mammalia; Primates; Hominidae
Gene: EMB
Gene name: embigin
Exons: 10
Source: RefSeq, a predicted model, not a curated record